Molecule: ribosomal RNA, 359 nt
Filed under: uncultured bacterium
Lineage: Bacteria
Description: bacterial SSU rRNA
Rfam family: Bacterial small subunit ribosomal RNA
Source: RNAcentral
AACGAACGCUGGCGGCAGGCUUAACACAUGCAAGUCGAACGGUUGUAGCAAUACAGCAGUGGCAGACGGGUGAGUAACACGUGGGAACCUUCCUAGGGGUACGGAACAACUCAGGGAAACUUGAGCUAAUACCGUAUACGUCCGUGAGGAGAAAGUUUUAACGCCCCUAGACGGGCCCGCGUAGGAUUAGGUAGUUGGUGAGGUAACGGCUCACCAAGCCUACGAUCCUUAGCUGAUCUGAGAGGANGAUCAGCCACACUGGGACUGAGACACGGCCCAGACUCCUACGGGAGGCAGCAGGUGGGGAAUCUUGGACAAUGGGCGCAAGCCUGAUCCAGCCAUGCCGCGUGAGUGAUGAA